CCGGCGCACGGGUGAGUAACACGUAUCCAACCUGCCGUCUACUCUUGGACAGCCUUCUGAAAGGAAGAUUAAUACAAGAUGGCAUCAUGAGUUCACAUGUUCACAUGAUUAAAGGUAUUCCGGUAGACGAUGGGGAUGCGUUCCAUUAGAUAGUAGGCGGGGUAACGGCCCACCUAGUCUUCGAUGGAUAGGGGUUCUGAGGGGAAGGUCCCCCACAUUGGAACUGAGACACGGUCCAA
This 239-nucleotide ribosomal RNA is filed under the name uncultured bacterium. RNAcentral's name for it is "partial 16S ribosomal RNA". It matches the Rfam family "Bacterial small subunit ribosomal RNA", at positions 95 to 334 of the family's 1533-position model. The record is from RNAcentral.